UCAAAAGAGGAGAGAAUUUUAGGAAGCAGUUUGGAGGAGUUAUAUGCUGCUGCAAAAAAGGUUAAGAAAGAUAAGAAGAGAAAUUGUGCAAUUUGAUCUGGUGGUGAGUUGUCAACUACUGACCCUGGAGUGACUCAGGUAGAGGAGUGAAGACAUAUGCCUCUUUGGAAAGACUCAAAGAGCAUAGGAGGAACCAGAAAAGAGAUCCACAAUGGCCCACAUAAAAGAGUGUUGGUAAAGUGAAGGCAAAACCCUGCAAUCUUGUCAAGAUUGAGCUUUGCUUAUUUGUUUGCAAGGAUCUGGAAGAACGGAUAAUAUAUAUGGGAAGAUGGGAUGAGACAAAGAAUAAGGAGAGAAACUAAAGUGGAAAGAAGAGGGAGAAAUAAUUGAUAGGGCAAGGUUCUGGAAAACUCUGAAAGGUUCUUUCGCACUACAACACUUAGGAUUUCUCAAGUACUGGGAGGAAAAGGACAGACAUUUCAUCAACUAAAAUGCUAAAUAAUUAGCAUGGUGACCACUAAACCUGGAGAGGUCUCAUUGUGAAACAAUCGGACGUGCAAAAGUAAAGCAAAUAAGCUCACUGCUUUAUAAAAGGGUUUGAGAGAUCCGGGGAUGCACAGUUGGCAUUCUCAAUGUAAGUAUGAAAAGGACCUCAGUUGUAAGAACUCCUUUACUAUCCUUAUUCUUUCCUUAUUAUGUAGUCUGGUCUUGGUCUUUAUGUAAGCCAUCCAUCUUUGGUAAUUUAUCUGUAUCACCAUGACUUAACCCUUUCAUAUUCUAUUGUACCGUGUUGGAAGUUUUAGCAGUAAAACAGAUCUAGCCUCACUUGAACAGUGACCUAAAACCUUUCUUCAGAUUUACUUAAUAUAUAUCUGAUGACCCCAGAAGAUUGUUUUACAGUUGUUAAUGCACGAUGGGUACUUGAUAAAUAUUGCAGACUCGUUACACAGAUAAACAUGCAAUUUUCAAAUUAUAAACUUGUAAGAUGUAAGAGUCAAUACAACCAGGGCUAUAAAUUGAGUUAUGUAAACUCAACUUCCAUUUAGCAGUAGAAAUACGUAUGCUAAAUUAUAACUGAAAUUUCCACUCCAUUAAAUGAGACAGGGCCAAGUUGCAGGGCUCACCCAUGAUGGCAAAUUCUAUGGCACUAGGACCCAUCACAUAAUUAAAAACGAGGAUGCAAAAAUUACUGCAAUAACAUUGACAAGAUACUUUUCUUUUAAGUGACCAUGUAUAUAUUGUAGAAACCAAUUUUUCAAAGUAUCUCCUAAUUGAUUCUACAAGUUUUCACCAUAAAACUAUAAAUUGCUGCUGCUGCUAUAAAUAUGGCAGAAGACAGUUAAGCUUGUCUUUGAACACAAAGGUUGACUGAAUGCAGAUAUGCAGAGGGUUUUAUUCCUCUUUGAAAUAUCCUGCUACAUGCAGCAAACACUAUCAGAAAACAUGUAUUAUUCAUUCUCAUCAUAGCCUGGUAUACUUUUAGAGUUUGCUAUGCGUUCACAUCAUUAUUUAUUUGCACUUAACGGGUGGUCCUUUCAAAAGCACUGGUUGUAGCGUUCUAAGUUAUUACUUUAUGUGAUUCACCUGCUCUUUUAGUCAAUAAUGCUAGUAAGUAAACCACAACCAGCUCAGGAAAUGCAAGCUGCUGAGGUCACUGCUGAACCACUCCUGUUCUCCACAGACCCAGGAAACUAAUGUCUUACCCCCACAACUAAUUUAGAACCCUCAA
Equus caballus (horse) is the source of this 1729-nucleotide long non-coding RNA. RefSeq lists it as uncharacterized. NCBI's taxonomy places the organism in Eukaryota, Metazoa, Chordata, Mammalia, Perissodactyla, Equidae. The record is from RefSeq and is a predicted model, not a curated record.